GUGCGCAGGGCCCUGUGUUAAAACGCCACAUUAUGUUGUCAUUAGACGUUUCUUUUAUCCAUAUGUGCGGUGGAAUACGAUGGCCUGUUUGGGAAAGGGGCAUAGUGGGAGCGGGCGUUAUCGACUACCACAUCCCCUGGGGAUGCCCUGUUGGUUUGCAAGCUCCACAGAAGCUUCCGGGGUGAAAUCUGAAACUGGCCUCUGUACUCAGAGGGCGGGGAGAGACUGAAGAAGCCACUCUAUGUUGGCAGGUGGCAGUUUUCAUAAGCAGGAGAACUUACACAGGAGUUUCAUCUUGGGCAGCAUCAGGACAAGUGUAUCUCUGCAUCCGCCAACCACAUCUUAUAAGUUUAUACAGAGGUCUUAACCGGGUUCAGUCACCUGUACCGUCAAGGUGGCCUCAACACCAUCUCAGUAUCCCAAAACGAUCUCCUUGGAUCAUCCUCUGGGAGUGGGAAAGGCAAGCAGAACCCACAUUCCAAGGACAGGAGAGGGGAUGCGAAGCCUCCGAUUUCCCAGGUCCAGCUCACAGCACUUCCGGCAGCCGAAGGCGCAGCAUUUGUACAUGAUGAAGACAACGCCCAGCACAAUGGCCAGGAGGAAGCCGAUCACAUCCACAGAGUGGUACUGGUACCAGGUUCCAGAUAGUCGUCUGUAUCACGGAACAAAAGAUCAAAAUUGCAUUACGAAUGUGAACCUCAGGAACGAGUUUUGUCAGCACGUGGAGAGAAGUCGGGGUUCCGUGGCGCCGAUGUGUGA
Long non-coding RNA from Prionailurus viverrinus (fishing cat), 759 nucleotides. RefSeq lists it as uncharacterized. NCBI's taxonomy places the organism in Eukaryota, Metazoa, Chordata, Mammalia, Carnivora, Felidae. The record is from RefSeq and is a predicted model, not a curated record. The transcript is spliced from 3 exons.